RNAcentral lists this microRNA precursor (90 nucleotides) under Chlorocebus sabaeus (green monkey). RNAcentral's name for it is "miRNA (ENSCSAG00000020869.1)". Lineage: Eukaryota; Metazoa; Chordata; Mammalia; Primates; Cercopithecidae. The record is from RNAcentral.
AUCACCUAGGAAUCUUGUUAAAAUGUAGAUUCUAAUUCUAGAGAUCUGUGAUUCGGCAUUUCUCAGGAGCUUCAGGUUGAUGAUAACGCU